UACGUAGGGUCCGAGCGUUGUCCGGAAUUAUUGGGCGUAAAGGGCUCGUAGGCGGUUUGUCACGUCGGGAGUGAAAACUCAGGGCUUAACCCUGAGCGUGCUUCCGAUACGGGCUGACUAGAGGGAUGCAGGGGAGAACGAAUUCCUGGUGUAGCGGUGGAAUGCGCAGAUAUCAGGAGGAACACCGGUGGCGAAGGCGGUUCUCUGGGCAUUUCCUGACGCUGAGGAGCGAAAGCAUGGGGAGCGAACAGG
Molecule: ribosomal RNA, 252 nt
Filed under: uncultured bacterium
Lineage: Bacteria
Description: partial 16S ribosomal RNA
Rfam family: Bacterial small subunit ribosomal RNA
Source: RNAcentral